Molecule: long non-coding RNA, 1043 nt
Filed under: Chinchilla lanigera (long-tailed chinchilla)
Lineage: Eukaryota; Metazoa; Chordata; Mammalia; Rodentia; Chinchillidae
Description: lncRNA (ENSCLAG00000028795.1)
Source: RNAcentral
CCAACUUUAAAGGAAAUAGGUUCCUUAUUGUUCUACAAAGAAAUACUUAGUUUUUAAUCCUGCUCACCUGGGACUCCACCACAGUCAUAAAGACAUUUUUGCUUUCUUUCAAUUUUCAGAGCUUCAUUAUGACACAAGUUGGGUUAAGGGAACUUUGCCACUGUAAGUGUUCUAACAAGAGUCCUGGGCAUUUCUCCAUGGUCUAAUGACAAGCUUGCUGACCAUGGCUGGGUUCACGCUGUUUGUUGUCUUGCACUUUGUUCUGUUCCUAGGACAAGGAACUGUGUAAGAAGGCAUCUUUUGAAAGAGGGAGAAACAGCACUGUGAAUAUCAACAAAGAAAAAUAACCUAAAAAAACAAAAAUAUUGUAUUUCGUCUGAACUUUUGGAUCUGUUUAUGAAAAAUGUUUAACAAGAAACAAAAAUGCCCAUAUUCUAUAAAGGAAGAUUUCAAUCAGCAGUUUUCAAAGUAAGAUAAACUCCACAUUUUCCAAAGUCAAGACAAUUUUGAUUACAGUUCUAUCUUAGUUGGAUUUACUGAAGAGGUGGAUAAUUUUAGGAAGUAAUAUAGUGCAAGAGAGAACUAAGACAUCUCCUCUGAUAAUUUAAAUCAGAAGGAACUGGGAAGUAACUCUUCAGUGGCUGUGCCUCGCUGCAUUUUCUCCAGAGACCAUUUCGGGAGAAGACCUCUGUGGAGAAAUCUGGAAACACUGGCAUAUAUUCAAUGAGAUAUCUUUGGAACAAGAGCCAAAUCCAAAUGCAAAACUCGCUUAUAUUUCAUAUAAACCUUACACAUAUAGUCUAAAGAGCUGUGGUGGGAUUGGAAGAAAGUAAGGCACCGAACCAGCUACCCAGGGUGACACUAAGGCAGCAGAAUCUGGCGACAACUGUGAGCUCUAAAGCCCCCAGUGAGGAUUUGAAUUCCAGCCCACACCAGUAGCCGCUUAAUGUUGGGCCGGUGGCUCAAGCUCUCAAAACUCUGACUGUCUCCUAUACUUAUGAUGAUAAGAACUACCUUAUAAAACUAGAUAUAUUUAAUGUGUU